UGUAUCCAACAACCUUUGAGUAUUGUGAUCAAUAUUGUACGUACUAACAUUUGUAGUACGUAAGAGUGGGAAGAGUUAAAAAAUAACUUGAGUGUUUAAGUUGUAAUGUCAAGUUAUUAGUAUGUUAAGGAUGUAAGCUAUUUUACUUUAUCUCUCAUAUUGUUAAUCUUUCCAUAUUAUUACCGCAAAAUAUCCUUACAUUAUCUCUUCUUCUUCUCAGGCGCUUGCAUUGCUUGCUUCAUUAGAUUUAACAAGAAGGCCAUAACAUGUCAUUUGUUUCUUUUACUUUCUUUUGAUUUUCUAUACAUAAAUCUCAUUAUUUUUCAACAAGUCAUAUUUUCUACGUUGAAUUUAAUUUUCUGCAACAACUAUUUAUAUUUUAAGUUGCGCUUUUAUUUUUAAUUUUUAUGCUCAAAUAUUUAUGAUCUCCAGUUUGCGUCUUUAUUUCAUCAUUUGUUUCAUUUUAAUAGGUAUGGCUGGUAACACAUCCUUUGUUCCUCUCCUUCUGACACUGAUGCUCCUUUCAUUAUCUGCAGGUACAAUCAGAUGCAGACUUACUACUACUAUAGACGCUACUCGUGCUCCUCCAGGUUGCCACCUACAAACGUUGGGAUGCACCGACAUAGCCUGUCAACGUGAUGUUUGCCACGGGUCACCACAUUUUAAAUGUCUAUACGAGACCUUUUGUUGUUGUGGUUAAGAAUAAUAAAUGUUUCUUUCAUUUGAAUAAUAAAGCAAUUAAAUUCAGGUGG
Beta vulgaris subsp. vulgaris (sugar beet) is the source of this 752-nucleotide long non-coding RNA. RefSeq lists it as uncharacterized. NCBI's taxonomy places the organism in Eukaryota, Viridiplantae, Streptophyta, Magnoliopsida, Caryophyllales, Amaranthaceae. The record is from RefSeq and is a predicted model, not a curated record. The transcript is spliced from 2 exons.